This 1770-nucleotide long non-coding RNA is filed under the name Homo sapiens (human). RNAcentral's name for it is "HSALNT0246891". The record is from RNAcentral. Lineage: Eukaryota; Metazoa; Chordata; Mammalia; Primates; Hominidae.
CGUCAUUCUCCUGCGUCAGCCUCCCGAGUAGCUGGGACUGCAGGCGCCCGCCACCAUGCCUGGCUAAUUUUUUGUAUGUUUAGUAGAGACGGGGUUUCACCGUGUUAGCCAGGAUGGUCUCUAUCUCCUGACCUUGUGAUCUGCCUGCCUCGGCCUCCCGAAGUGCCGGGAUUACAAGCGUGAGCCACCAUUCCCGGCCCAAAGAGGAGAAGAAGUAUGAAGUGCUUGCUUGGACCUUUCUACUGUGCUUAUUAUUCUGUCUUCUCCUCAUGGCAACUCUGCUCAGGCAACUCUUCCUCUGAGGAUCCUUCCAGUGACAAUUCAAGAAUUAGCGACUCAAUUCCCAGGGUCCCUUAGACCUUCGACCUGCUUGUGGGCAAUUUGGAAACAAGGAUUGUGCCUGAAUCACCUUUGCAUUCCUAGCAUCGUUUUUCCUGGAUAAUAAUUUGUUCAAUAUAUGUUCAAUAAUUGUUCAAUUAUUCAAUAACAAAUGUUCAAUAAAUGUGUGUUAAAUGAAUGACCACAGCUCCUAUAGCAGGUAGCUGACUUUGUGUCUCCUCAACCAAUCUCUGAGCUCUUUGAAACAAAGCCUAUUUUGUUUGAAUGUAAAUUUAUCAUCCCAGUUUCUGGUACAGGGUAGGGAACUAAUGCAUAUGUGGUGAAACAAUCAAUGCCUUAGUGCUUAUGAAGAAUAUCACUGUGUUACACAGAAGCAUGGAAUGACUAAUGUUAAGCUAAACUCAAGUUACUUAGGGAAUAUUAACUUGCAUUUAUUAUACUCUGGGGGAAAAACACAUAUAUGUGUAUAUAUGUAUAACAUAUGUAUGUAUACACAUAUCAGAAUUUGUAUAUGAGAAUGUCUGAUUACUAUCAAAAUACUAUGAUUAAGAAUUAAUUGCAAGACUUUGUAAUUAAAGGUGUCGACACCUCUUAUGUCUCCCUAUUUCUUGUAUUUGGAUUAUCUCUUUCCCUGCCUAUGCUAGAUAUACAAGGUGAUGCCGUGAUUGUGUCUGAUUUAAGCACCAUGACAGUGAUUUGGAGUAACUGUGAAAUUAUUCAUUUUGUGUUUUUUCCAAGCCUUCUGUGUUUCAGUUGCACAGACUGCUCUGACACUGUUAGCGAUGGCAAUCAAAUGCCAGCACAAGAAGCAAGGGGGCACAAAUGAAUCUCCUGAUGAGGUCUAUUUACAGUUCUUGCAGAAUAUUAUACGUUUUUUACUUCAAAACCUCUAGAGUUUUUUAUUUUUAAAACUUUGGUGUAUUUGAGAAUUGGGGCUGGUCAUUUCCUGGUAUGGCUAAUGGUAAAAUAUCAGCUCUUUCUCUCGUUAAUUCAUUUGAGGGAGAUUUCGUUAAGAGGAAGAUUCAGUGAUGAACUCAUGGAGGGAGAGCUGUACCUCUGGUUAGGCUCAGGAGUCGAGAGUGUGAGCUAUGGAGUGAAAGUAGGUGUUUUCAAAUCUGCGUCUACUGUUCCUGAUAGUUAAACACUGGGCAGGUCACUUACUUUGUGCUUCUGUUUCCUCAGCUGCAAAAAAAACUAGUACUUGCUCCAUGACAUUGUGAGGUUUAGAAUUAAUCCAUGCUUACGACAGUGACUGUCAAACCAAAAGUACACAAUAGAUACUAUCUGUUACUAUUGUUCUGUUUUUUUAUUCUUUAUAUUGUUUUACAUCUGAGAACUUCAAAGAUUAUUUGAUACAAAUAUCUCCACUGAUAAAAAUAUCAGUAGAGAAAUAGGAUAAUUAUGCUUAACCAGCUCACAUGUUAUCAAGCA